UGUUCUGUUGGCAUAGUGGUUAGAACGUCCGCCUCGGAUGCGGGAGGUCGUGAGUUCGACUCCCAGCCGAGUCAU
Molecule: non-coding RNA, 75 nt
Organism: Potamilus streckersoni
Lineage: Eukaryota; Metazoa; Mollusca; Bivalvia; Unionida; Unionidae
Source: the annotation of a GenBank genome assembly